This 291-nucleotide ribosomal RNA is filed under the name Triticum aestivum (bread wheat). RNAcentral describes it as "partial small subunit ribosomal RNA". The record is from RNAcentral. Lineage: Eukaryota; Viridiplantae; Streptophyta; Magnoliopsida; Poales; Poaceae.
AUGGCCGAGGCAGCCUUCUACUACUUCUCUGACGUCCUCGGCUCGACCAGCGACCGUGCCUUCUCUCUAGACCAGUCCUUACUGCGCGGCGCGCCCUUCGACCUCUCCGAUCUUGAGGCGCCCUUCACGGAGGAUGAAAUUUGGAGGGCCGUCAAAUGCCUGCCGACGGGGAAGGCUCCUGGCCCGGAUGGAUUCACGGCUGAGUUCCUCCGCGCAUGCUGGGACAUCAUCAAGCAUGACAUUUGUGAGGCGUUUGACAAGUUCUACACCGCCAACGGGAGAGACUUCUAG